Molecule: ribosomal RNA, 465 nt
Filed under: uncultured bacterium
Lineage: Bacteria
Description: partial 16S ribosomal RNA
Rfam family: Bacterial small subunit ribosomal RNA
Source: RNAcentral
GACGAACGCUGGCGGCGUGCUUAACACAUGCAAGUCGAACGGAAAGGCCCCUUUGGGGGUACUCGCUUGGCGAACGGGUGAGUAACACGUGAGUAACCUGCCCUUGACUUCGUGAUAACUUCAGGAAACUGGGUCUAAUACCGGCUAGGAAUCCUUGCUGCAUGGUGGGGGUUGGAAAGCUUCGGCGGUUUUGGAUGGACUCGCGGCUUAUCAGCUUGUUUGUGGGGUAGUGGCUUACCAAGGCUUUGACGGGUAGCCGGCCUGAGAGGGCGACCGGCCACAUUGGGACUGAGAUACGGCCCAGACUCCUACGGGAGGCAGCAGUGGGGAAUAUUGCACAAUGGGCGGAAGCCUGAUGCAGCAACGCCGCGUGCGGGAUGACGGCCUUCGGGUUGUAAACCGCUUUCAGCAGGGGCGAAGCUUGUGGUGACGGUACCUGCAGAAGAAGCACCGGCUAACUACGUG